RNAcentral lists this ribosomal RNA (428 nucleotides) under uncultured bacterium. Its description in RNAcentral is "bacterial SSU rRNA". It matches the Rfam family "Bacterial small subunit ribosomal RNA", at positions 28 to 478 of the family's 1533-position model. The record is from RNAcentral.
GACGAACGCUGGCGGCGUGCUUAACACAUGCAAGUUGAACGGUAAUCCAUGGAAGCUUGCUGAAGUGGAUUAUAGUAGCGGACGGGUGAGUAAUGCAUGAGAAGCUGCCAUUGGGAGGGGGACAACAGUUGGAAACGGCUGCUAAUACCCCGUAUGCCGGAAGGUGAAAGGGAUUCGUCCCGCCCGAUGAGGUGCUCAUGUCCUAUCAGCUAGUUGGUGAGGUAACGGCUCACCAAGGCGACGACGGGUAGCCGGCCUGAGAGGGUGAACGGCCACACUGGAACUGAGAUACGGUCCAGACUCCUACGGGAGGCAGCAGUGGGGAAUAUUGGGCAAUGGGGGAAACCCUGACCCAGCGACGCCGCGUGAGGGAAGAAGGCCUUCGGGUUGUAAACCUCUUUUGUAUGGGAAGAAGAAUGUGACGGUAC